RNAcentral lists this small RNA (1085 nucleotides) under Arabidopsis thaliana (thale cress). RNAcentral describes it as "ATSL205040". Lineage: Eukaryota; Viridiplantae; Streptophyta; Magnoliopsida; Brassicales; Brassicaceae. The record is from RNAcentral.
UUAAAAUUAACCUUUCAAUUUUUCUGUAGUUUCAAUUUUGAUGUAAGUGGCUAUUUUAUAAAUACAUAUAUCUAUAUAUAUUUAAGCAAAACAUAAGAUGAAAAAUAAGCAAAAAUUAAGCAAAACAUAAGAAGAAAAAUAAGCAAAAGUUAAGCAAACAUAACAAAAAAAUGUAACUUGACUAAAUGCAAAGCUUUUUAACCAAAAGAUAAAACUUUGACACAAUGACUUUAAUGAAAACGUCUUUUUUAAAACAAUAUCUAUAGAACAUAUUAUUUUACUUUAUUUUUGGCUCAACUUCUACUAUUCAUAAUCCAAAGUUCUUACAUAACCUGUUCUAAAUCACAGAAUGUUUUAUGUAUUGUUCACACAAUUUGGUGUAUUCAGUACUAUUAUGCUAAACUACAUCUUCAAAAUGCAUAUCAGAGACGAUCACAUUAUUCUUUUGUCUAAUAAGGGUUUUGGAUUUGUUAAAGUAAAAUUUAAUUGUGACAAACGGAAAACCCCACGUCUACCAAGUAAUUUUUUUCUAGAAAGACCGCCAUCAAAGAAAAUGCCAUUUGGAUUACCUUUUUAGCAUCAUGAUUUUGGUGAAAAAAUGUAUUUCUAUAGAAUCGUCAUAUUAAACUUUGAUAGAUUUGCAUUAAGUUACAGACUACUUUUGGUAAGCUACAUCUUCUAAACUUAAGUAAGCUACAUUAUUCUUUGCGUCUAAUUAUUAUUAUAAAUGAAAAUAAUUUUGUAGAUCUAUGAUGUUAAAUCCACUGAUCAUUCCAUGACAAAUGAAAUAUUUCUUUAUUUUUCAUUGUAUAUUUUAUAGUUUAUAGACAUAUUGAAAAGGGGUAGUGUUGAAAGAGUAUUCAUAGCAAUUAUUCUAGAAUUUUGGGUAGAAAAUCUUUAUUUAUUUCUAAUUAAUUUAUUUUCUUAUUCAAUAUUAUUCAAUAUUAUUCAUAAUUAGAUGGGUUUAAAACUAAUUAUACUCUUACAUUAUAGGAUUUACAAUAUUUAUUAUAUACUAAAAGAUUACUAAUCCAAUAAGAUAAUUACAAUAUUUUAAUGAGGCUGUUUUAGUACAUUAAUGUAUU